Molecule: long non-coding RNA, 410 nt
Filed under: Setaria viridis
Lineage: Eukaryota; Viridiplantae; Streptophyta; Magnoliopsida; Poales; Poaceae
Description: long non-coding RNA (SVIR_LNC002822)
Source: RNAcentral
UAAUCUUUAUCUUUUUAUUUAAAAACGUAAGCCCUUUUCCUUUAUUUUUGAAAAGAACCAUAAAUAUUUUCUAAUCUUAAACUUCUAAUUACUAUAUAUUAUGAUUAAUUUGUAAUUAGAAAAGCAUUAGUUCAUAUUUUAUGUAUUUUGGAAUUAUUAAGUAUUUAUUUAAUACCUUUAAUUAAAGGCACUAAAUAAAUACCCAAAAUGUUUCUAUAAACAAAUAAGUUUUAACAAUUUUAAUGUGUAAAGGAAAUAAAAACAAACCUAUUAAAAUUUAUUUCACUAUUUUUGGGUACUUCUACAAAUUUUGGUGAAUUAAAAGGUGCAACAGUUAUUUAAAUCUAUUUUAAAACCGAAAGUUCCUUAUCUUAUCCGAAACCCUCCCCUGGAAUCUAUUUCUACCGGCC